This 74-nucleotide transfer RNA is filed under the name Planctomycetota bacterium. Its description in RNAcentral is "Planctomycetes bacterium tRNA-Trp". It matches the Rfam family "tRNA". Rfam says of the family: Transfer RNA (tRNA) molecules are approximately 80 nucleotides in length. Their secondary structure includes four short double-helical elements and three loops (D, anti-codon, and T loops). Lineage: Bacteria; Pseudomonadati; Planctomycetota. The record is from RNAcentral.
AGGUCGGUAGCUCUAAUGGCUAGAGCGCCGGAUUCCAAAUCCGAUGGUUGUGGGUUCGAAUCCCUCCCGGCCUG